CCUUUGCUGGUAUAGGCCGAGGUGAAGUCGCCGUUAUUGUCGGUGAUCGUAAUCACAAGGUCUUUAUGGCGCCGUGUUUCGAUUACCCGGUCGAGGGC
RNAcentral lists this transfer RNA (98 nucleotides) under Symmachiella macrocystis. RNAcentral describes it as "Planctomycetes bacterium CA54 tRNA-Asn". Lineage: Bacteria; Pseudomonadati; Planctomycetota; Planctomycetia; Planctomycetales; Planctomycetaceae. The record is from RNAcentral.